This 1359-nucleotide ribosomal RNA is filed under the name Klebsiella pneumoniae. RNAcentral describes it as "partial 23S ribosomal RNA". It matches the Rfam family "Bacterial large subunit ribosomal RNA", at positions 1603 to 2925 of the family's 2925-position model. Lineage: Bacteria; Pseudomonadati; Pseudomonadota; Gammaproteobacteria; Enterobacterales; Enterobacteriaceae. The record is from RNAcentral.
UGCUUCCAGGAAAAGCCUCUAAGCAUCAGGUAACAUCAAAUCGUACCCCAAACCGACACAGGUGGUCAGGUAGAGAAUACCAAGGCGCUUGAGAGAACUCGGGUGAAGGAACUAGGCAAAAUGGUGCCGUAACUUCGGGAGAAGGCACGCUGGUGUGUAGGUGAAGUCCCUGCGGAUGGAGCUGAGACCAGUCGAAGAUACCAGCUGGCUGCAACUGUUUAUUAAAAACACAGCACUGUGCAAACACGAAAGUGGACGUAUACGGUGUGACGCCUGCCCGGUGCCGGAAGGUUAAUUGAUGGGGUUAUCCGUAAGGAGAAGCUCUUGAUCGAAGCCCCGGUAAACGGCGGCCGUAACUAUAACGGUCCUAAGGUAGCGAAAUUCCUUGUCGGGUAAGUUCCGACCUGCACGAAUGGCGUAAUGAUGGCCAGGCUGUCUCCACCCGAGACUCAGUGAAAUUGAACUCGCUGUGAAGAUGCAGUGUACCCGCGGCAAGACGGAAAGACCCCGUGAACCUUUACUAUAGCUUGACACUGAACAUUGAGCCUUGAUGUGUAGGAUAGGUGGGAGGCUUUGAAGCGUGGACGCCAGUCUGCGUGGAGCCAACCUUGAAAUACCACCCUUUAAUGUUUGAUGUUCUAACGUUGGCCCCUGACCGGGGUUGCGGACAGUGUCUGGUGGGUAGUUUGACUGGGGCGGUCUCCUCCCAAAGCGUAACGGAGGAGCACGAAGGUUAGCUAAUCCUGGUCGGACAUCAGGAGGUUAGUGCAAUGGCAUAAGCUAGCUUGACUGCGAGCGUGACGGCGCGAGCAGGUGCGAAAGCAGGUCAUAGUGAUCCGGUGGUUCUGAAUGGAAGGGCCAUCGCUCAACGGAUAAAAGGUACUCCGGGGAUAACAGGCUGAUACCGCCCAAGAGUUCAUAUCGACGGCGGUGUUUGGCACCUCGAUGUCGGCUCAUCACAUCCUGGGGCUGAAGUAGGUCCCAAGGGUAUGGCUGUUCGCCAUUUAAAGUGGUACGCGAGCUGGGUUUAGAACGUCGUGAGACAGUUCGGUCCCUAUCUGCCGUGGGCGCUGGAGAAUUGAGGGGGGCUGCUCCUAGUACGAGAGGACCGGAGUGGACGCAUCACUGGUGUUCGGGUUGUCAUGCCAAUGGCACUGCCCGGUAGCUAAAUGCGGAAGAGAUAAGUGCUGAAAGCAUCUAAGCACGAAACUUGCCCCGAGAUGAGUUCUCCCUGAGACUUUAAGUCUCCUGAAGGAACGUUAAAGACGAUGACGUUGAUAGGCCGGGUGUGUAAGCGCAGCGAUGCGUUGAGCUAACCGGUACUAAUGAACCGUGAGGCUUAACCUUACAACGCCGAAG